CAGAAAACUUAAGUUUAAAUAAAUCAAAAAGAAACCAAGUCUUCUAAACAUCUUUUAACAAUGAAAACUUCACCACAAAUUAUUUAUAAUCAUACCUGAGAUCCCAAGGGUCUUUGAUCACAAAAACUUCAAUUCUUUUCGUCAAUCUUCAUCUUCUAAUUCUUCGAGACUCCGUUCAAUACUUCACGAAAUUCGCCAACUUAUAAAAUCCUUAACACAACUAUCGAUAUCAAUGUCGACAGAGAGCACGAUGACGG
This 257-nucleotide long non-coding RNA is filed under the name Ananas comosus (pineapple). RNAcentral's name for it is "long non-coding RNA (ACOM_LNC002154)". Lineage: Eukaryota; Viridiplantae; Streptophyta; Magnoliopsida; Poales; Bromeliaceae. The record is from RNAcentral.